This 252-nucleotide ribosomal RNA is filed under the name uncultured prokaryote. RNAcentral describes it as "partial 16S ribosomal RNA". It matches the Rfam family "Bacterial small subunit ribosomal RNA", at positions 524 to 775 of the family's 1533-position model. The record is from RNAcentral.
UACGGAGGGUGCAAGCGUUAUCCGGAUUCACUGGGUUUAAAGGGUGCGUAGGAGGGCAGGUAAGUCAGUGGUGAAAUCCCCGAGCUUAACUUGGGAACUGCCGUUGAUACUAUCUGUCUUGAAUAUUGUGGAGGUAAGCGGAAUAUGUCAUGUAGCGGUGAAAUGCUUAGAUAUGACAUAGAACACCAAUUGCGUAGGCAGCUUACUACACGAUCAUUGACGCUGAGGCACGAAAGCGUGGGGAGCAAACAG